Molecule: long non-coding RNA, 188 nt
Organism: Diabrotica virgifera virgifera (western corn rootworm)
Lineage: Eukaryota; Metazoa; Arthropoda; Insecta; Coleoptera; Chrysomelidae
Exons: 2
Source: RefSeq, a predicted model, not a curated record
UCAUUCAGUCGUGUUUUUUGAUAUUUUGUAAUCGAGUACCUUUUUAAAGGUCUAAUGGCUCCCAUCAGGUGUUGUGUGCAGACGGAGGAAAAAUUCAACGAGUAAACAUAUAUUUAAUCCAAAUUAAAUACUCAUAUUUCUAUGUAAAAUGUCACAUUAUUGUAUAAAUAAAUAAUUAAGAAACAAAA